RNAcentral lists this ribosomal RNA (253 nucleotides) under uncultured bacterium. Its description in RNAcentral is "partial 16S ribosomal RNA". It matches the Rfam family "Bacterial small subunit ribosomal RNA", at positions 524 to 776 of the family's 1533-position model. The record is from RNAcentral.
UACAGAGGGUGCAAGCGUUAAUCGGAAUUACUGGGCGUAAAGCGUGCGCAGGCGGCUUUGCAAGACAGAUGUGAAAUCCCCGGGCUCAACCUGGGAACUGCAUUUGUGACUGCAAGGCUAGAGUACGGCAGAGGGGGAUGGAAUUCCGCGUGUAGCAGUGAAAUGCGUAGAUAUGCGGAGGAACACCGAUGGCGAAGGCAGCUCCCUGGACCUGUACUGACGCUCAUGCACGAAAGCGUGGGGAGCAAACAGG